RNAcentral lists this ribosomal RNA (302 nucleotides) under uncultured bacterium. RNAcentral describes it as "bacterial SSU rRNA". It matches the Rfam family "Bacterial small subunit ribosomal RNA", at positions 164 to 470 of the family's 1533-position model. The record is from RNAcentral.
UUAUACCUCAUAGUAUUAUUGAUUGGCAUCAUAUAUUAAGUUCGGUGGUAAAAGAUGAGUAUGCGUUCUAUUAGCUAGAUGGUGUGGUAACGGCACACCAUGGCUACGAUAGAUAGGGGGCCUGAGAGGGGGAUCCCCCACACUGGUACUGAGACACGGACCAGACUCCUACGGGAGGCAGCAGUGAGGAAUAUUGGACAAUGGAGGCAACUCUGAUCCAGCCAUGCCGCGUGCAGGAAGACUGCCCUAUGGGUUGUAAACNGCUUUUAUACAGGAAGAAACCGCUCUACGUGUAGAGCUCU